This 71-nucleotide transfer RNA is filed under the name Marmota monax (woodchuck). RNAcentral's name for it is "tRNA.Ser". It matches the Rfam family "tRNA". From Rfam's summary of the family: Transfer RNA (tRNA) molecules are approximately 80 nucleotides in length. Their secondary structure includes four short double-helical elements and three loops (D, anti-codon, and T loops). The record is from RNAcentral. Lineage: Eukaryota; Metazoa; Chordata; Mammalia; Rodentia; Sciuridae.
GGGGUUGUGGCUCAGUGGUAGAGCACUUUCCUAGAAUGUGAGAGGUACUGAGUUCGAUUCUCAGCACCGCA